This 302-nucleotide long non-coding RNA is filed under the name Rattus norvegicus (Norway rat). RNAcentral describes it as "long non-coding RNA NONRATT014935". The record is from RNAcentral. Lineage: Eukaryota; Metazoa; Chordata; Mammalia; Rodentia; Muridae.
GCGGCCGCCAUGCCCGGGGUGUCCCAGCUCCCUCUGCCGCCUGCGCUCGGCCGCCAGCAGGCCAUGGCGCAGUCGCUGUCCCAGUGCAGCCUGGCGGCGGGGCCACCGCCCAACUCCAUGGGUUUGUCCAACAGCCUGGCGGGCUCCAACGGAGCGGGGCUGCAGUCGCACCUCUACCAGCCCGCCUUCCCCGGCAUGGUGCCCGCUUCCCUCCCCGGCCCCAGCAACGUCUCCGGCUCGCCCCAGCUCUGCAGCUCUCCGGACAGCAGCGACGUGUGGCGGGGCACGAGCAUCGCCUCCCU